CAGUCGCCGCGGUAAUACGGAGGAUCCAAGCGUUAUCCGGAAUCAUUGGGUUUAAAGGGUCCGUAGGCGGUCUUGUAAGUCAGUGGUGAAAGCCCAUCGCUCAACGGUGGAACGGCCAUUGAUACUGCAGGACUUGAAUUAUUGGGAAGUAACUAGAAUAUGUAGUGUAGCGGUGAAAUGCUUAGAGAUUACAUGGAAUACCAAUUGCGAAGGCAGGUUACUAACAAUUGAUUGACGCUGAUGGACGAAAGCGUGGGUAGCGAACAGGAUUAGAUACCCCUGUAGUCCCUGUCUCUUAUAC
This 301-nucleotide ribosomal RNA is filed under the name uncultured bacterium. RNAcentral describes it as "partial 16S ribosomal RNA". It matches the Rfam family "Bacterial small subunit ribosomal RNA", at positions 509 to 807 of the family's 1533-position model. The record is from RNAcentral.